CUAAUACUCCCUCCGUCCUAAAAUUCUUGUUUUAGAUUUGUCUAUAUACGGAUGUAUCUAACACUAAAACGUAGCUAGAUACAUUCGUAUUUGGACAAAUCUAAGACAAGAAUUUUGAGACGGAGGGAGUACUUA
Molecule: non-coding RNA, 135 nt
Organism: Triticum aestivum (bread wheat)
Lineage: Eukaryota; Viridiplantae; Streptophyta; Magnoliopsida; Poales; Poaceae
Source: Rfam